AGGAAUAUUGGUCAAUGGGCGAGAGCCUGAACCAGCCAAGUAGCGUGCAGGAUGACGGCCCUAUGGGUUGUAAACUGCUUUUAUAAGGGAAUAAAGUGAGAGUCGUAACUCUUUUUGCAUGUACCUUAUGAAUAAGGACCGGCUAAUUCCGUGCCAGCAGCCGCGGUAAUACGGAAGGUCCGGGCGUUAUCCGGAUUUAUUGGGUUUAAAGGGAGCGUAGGCCGGAGAUUAAGCGUGUUGUGAAAUGUAGACGCUCAACGUCUGCACUGCAGCGCGAACUGGUUUCCUUGAGUACGCACAAAGUGGGCGGAAUUCGUGGUGUAGCGGUGAAAUGCUUAGAUAUCACGAAGAACUCCGAUUGCGAAGGCAGCUCACUGGAGCGCAACUGACGCUGAAGCUCGAAAGUGCGGGUAUCGAACAGGAUUAGAUACCCUGGUAGUCCGCACGGUAAACGAUGGAUGCCCGCUGUUGGUCUGAACAGGUCAGCGGCCAAGCGAAAGCAUUAAGCAUCCCACCUGGGGAGUACGCCGGCAACGGUGAAACUCAAAGGAAUUGACGGGGGCCCGCACAAGCGGAGGAACAUGUGGUUUAAUUCGAUGAUACGCGAGGAACCUUACCCGGGCUUGAAUUGCAGAGGAAGGAUUUGGAGACAAUGACGCCCUUCGGGGUCUCUGUGAAGGUGCUGCAUGGUUGUCGUCAGCUCGUGCCGUGAGGUGUCGGCUUAAGUGCCAUAACGAGCGCAACCCCUCUCCUUAGUUGCCAUCAGGUCAAGCUGGGCACUCUGGGGACACUGCCACCGUAAGGUGUGAGGAAGGUGGGGAUGACGUCAAAUCAGCACGGCCCUUACGUCCGGGGCUACACACGUGUUACAAUGGCAGGUACAGAGAGACGGUCCCUUGCAAAAUGGAUCAAAUCCUUAAAGCCUGUCUCAGUUCGGACUGGGGUCUGCAACCCGACCCCACGAAGCUGGAUUCGCUAGUAAUCGCGCAUCAGCCAUGGCGCGGUGAAUACGUUCCCG
RNAcentral lists this ribosomal RNA (1018 nucleotides) under uncultured bacterium. Its description in RNAcentral is "bacterial SSU rRNA". It matches the Rfam family "Bacterial small subunit ribosomal RNA", at positions 357 to 1376 of the family's 1533-position model. The record is from RNAcentral.